This 492-nucleotide ribosomal RNA is filed under the name uncultured bacterium. Its description in RNAcentral is "partial 16S ribosomal RNA". It matches the Rfam family "Bacterial small subunit ribosomal RNA", at positions 29 to 507 of the family's 1533-position model. The record is from RNAcentral.
AGUGAACGCUGGCGGUAGGCCUAACACAUGCAAGUCGAACGGCAGCACAGUAAGAGCUUGCUCUUACGGGUGGCGAGUGGCGGACGGGUGAGGAAUACAUCGGAAUCUACUUUUUCGUGGGGGGUAACGUAGGGAAACUUACGCUAAUACCGCAUACGACCUACGGGUGAAAGCAGGGGAUCUUCGGACCUUGCGCGAUUGAAUGAGCCGAUGUCGGAUUAGCUAGUUGGCGGGGUAAAGGCCCACCAAGGCGACGAUCCGUAGCUGGUCUGAGAGGAUGGACAGCCACACUGGAACUGAGACACGGUCCAGACUCCGACGGGAGGCAGCAGUGGGGAAUAUUGGACAAUGGGGGCAAGCCUGAUCCAGCCAUACCGCGUGAGUGAAGAAGGCCUUCGGGUUGUAAAGCCAUUUUGUUGGGAAAGAAAAGCAGCAGGUUAAUACCCCGCUGUUCUGACGGUACCCAAAGAAUAAGCACCGGCUAACUUCGUG